RNAcentral lists this ribosomal RNA (293 nucleotides) under Chimarrhodella ulmeri. Its description in RNAcentral is "partial 28S large subunit ribosomal RNA". It matches the Rfam family "Eukaryotic large subunit ribosomal RNA", at positions 649 to 854 of the family's 3401-position model. Lineage: Eukaryota; Metazoa; Arthropoda; Insecta; Trichoptera; Philopotamidae. The record is from RNAcentral.
CCGUCUUGAACACGGACCAAGGAGUCUAGCAUGUGCGCGAGUCAUAGGGAGUCUUCUAAACCCUGAGGCGUAAUGAAAGUGAACAGCGUCGCAUCUCCGCUCGGUCCCUCGGGGCCGGCGCGCGAGUACGACCGCAGGGACGAUGGCGGACGGCCGAUUUUUACGUUGACCGUCCUCGCCCGCAGUCCCGGGGCGUUUCGAGAAAUGCCUCCGUUGCGAUUAUCGAGACGCACCGAGAGCGCACACGCCGGGACCCGAAAGAUGGUGAACUAUGCCUGGUCAGGUCGAAGUCA